Molecule: ribosomal RNA, 305 nt
Filed under: uncultured bacterium
Lineage: Bacteria
Description: bacterial SSU rRNA
Rfam family: Bacterial small subunit ribosomal RNA
Source: RNAcentral
UUCCUACGGGGGGCAGCAGUGGGGAAUAUUGCACAAUGGGGGAAACCCUGAUGCAGCAACGCCGCGUGAGCGAAGAAGUAUUUCGGUAUGUAAAGCUCUAUCAGCAGGGAAGAAGAUGACGGUACCUGAUUAAGAAGCCCCGGCUAACUACGUGCCAGCAGCCGCGGUAAUACGUAGGGAGCAAGCGUUGUCCGGAAUUACUGGGCGUAAAGGGCGCGUAGGUGGGCGCUUAAGUCAGGUGUGAAAACUCCGGGCUCAACCUGGAGACUGCACUUGAAACUGGGUGUCUUGAGGGCAGGAGAGGA